GUCUCCCGUUUUUACUUAGUGUAGCUCAGUCACAGCCUCCCAAACGGAAUCACUUGCUCUAGAACGGAAGGCUUUCCUCCUCUGUUAGGUGUGCACACAUGCUUCUAUGGGAGGGAAUGCCGGUCUACUCAGGGCCAGGCCAGUCCUGAAGACAUACCUUCCAAUCUUUUAAAUUAAUGUCGUCAUUAAUUUCCUGGGAUACCUCAACAGGCUGCCAUCCUAGAGUUUGUUCUGUUCGUUUGUAGUUUACAAUGUAGCCUUCUGUUUGGGAACUGCUGGAAAACAGAGAGGCAUCAUUUUUUACCUAAAGAAUAAGGUACAUUUAUUUGUUUUUACUUACUUGAAUGAAUGGUCACCUUUAUAAUUUGCUACCUAGCCACUUCCUGUAUGGCUUUCUCUUCACCUUCCUGCGAGGCUAAACACCAUCAACCAACUUCAUUCUUUCCACAGCAUUAAUCCAGGAAGCUGGAAUUUUAAGUGUUUGAUGUCUACUGUUCUACACUACUCAUAACUUGACAUUUUCUAUUUCAACCAAGUCUAAAUUAGAUGAAUACAAGAAUAAUUCUUACCACUGUUCCGCUUUCCCUUUUUCUCUUCUUCUACCUUUAGUUACUCAAAGUCAACAUUUUCAUUUCAGCAUGACUCUGCAGCCAUACUGACUAGACAGAUGAUUUAAACUGGAAACUCUGUUGAGUUUUCCCCCAAACCCAAGGUGUCUAUACUAUUCCCUAGUUCAUAUGUUCCCUAGUUCAGAAAAGUCACAAAGAACCUUCCACCACUUUUGGAAUUUAUACUUUAGAUGUGUAUGAGGCCUAGAUCAUGAGUAGAGCACUGGAUGAAUAAAAUAAUAAUAGCUAAUGUGUACUACACUUAGUGAUGUGAUGUGUGUUGUGUAUGGCCAUCUAACCUUCACAACAACCCGAGGAAGUAGGUAUUAUCCAUGUUUUGCAGAUGAGGAGACUGAGGUACAAAGAAGUCAAGUACUUUAAGACCACAGUAGGUGGUAGAGCUGGAUUUUUGCAGUCAGGAUCCACUAUGUUCUUACCAACUAUGUGCUUUUGAGAAACCGUGGUCCCAGAAUAUGUUCUGACAAACAGAAAUUCUGGGUCAAACAAGUCUGGGAGAUACUGGGUACUCUACUGUCCUCUUAGAUUCCUCAUUCCGGAACGUUAUCAUUAUAAAGGCUCCGAAACUCCUGCAGAGUUUCACUCUUUUAACCCAGCAUUUUCUGAACUCCCUUGAAUACAGACUUUUUUCCAUUAUCACAUAUUGAAAAACUCUGGAAUAAAAUAAGUGUUCCAACCCAUUUCUGAAUAAUUCUAAAAAUUGUGUCUAAAUCAGUACUGGCAGGUUCAUUUCCUUCACACCAGUUUUGAAUUGAAGCAACUUGAAAGGAGUUAGAAACCAGCUACCAUCCCAGUAGCCCAAGAGAAAGAUAAUCAAGAGGCGCUAUUGUCAGAUUGGUAGUUUCAUCCAGUUAAGUCCUCCCUCUGAGUUCAGAUUGAGAGCUGCAGUCAGCUAGCUCUACUGACUGGAGAAAAAGUGAAUAUUCCUACACCUGCGGCCAUUAUAGACAUAGAGCAGGAGCUCCAAACUAGAGCCACUGAGUGAAAUUGCUGCUGGUUACCUAAGUUAGCUGUCACCAUAUUUUGCUGAGGAUAUAGGUUCAGCUUUCCCACAAGCCAGUGAGCAUCUCUCAUGUUUACAGACAACCUUCCCGGUACAGACACUGAUGCACCUUAAGUUAAGUAGAUUCAGAUCAGAGUGUGGGGAGAGUAGCAAAAGUCCAUUUACAUCACUUCCAGGAAGACGGCCUAAGCCAUACAUUCUGAGAGACACCCCUCUUCCUGACAUAGACAUACACACUUUUGUUCAUAUACUUAGUUUAUUGAAUACCUAUUGCUCACUUAACAACUCCUCAGACCUGAGACCCCUGACCUAUUCAUAAGAGGCUACUUUCAUUUCCCCAAAGCCCAGGAGGCCCAGGAGGUAAGACAGGGGAGGUAUCAGUAAAAGCUUCUGGAAUGGGUAAGUGCAGUAAAUGAGUAUAGCAAGAGAGGGGAAGCCCCUUUCCACCUCUCAAAUGAUCAGUUCUUUGAAGACCUAACAGGCAAGAUCACAAGAGCUGUCUCCCUGGUAACCGUAAAUGAAGCCUUUCUUCUAUUAAAUAAUUCUUUUUUUUUUAAAUUGCAUUUUAGGUUUUGGUAAAUAAUUCUUUUAAUGCCUUUUCAUCUCUAUAUUUAAAAAGAAAAACAUUCACUAAAUUUAUGGAGAUCUUAUGUGCCAGGGUCUCUACAGUCUUCAUGGUAAAGGGAAUUUAACUGAUAUACACCAUCUUGACUACUUCAAGGAGGCAGAAGAGUACAGUGGUUUAAAGGGCAGGCUCCAGUGAUAGUUUCUUGGGUUCAGAUUUCUGUCACUUUCUGGCUUUGUGAUCCUGACAGAGCUACACACUGACUCUCUGAGUUUCUUAUCCUAUCAGGUCUUUAUUUCUGUCAGGGAAUUUAUAAUAAAAAUACUGGGCUUCACUCUCUCUGAAAAGCUAGGGAAGAACCCAAGAAGAAUCUGCUUCUAGUUAUGCCUCCUAGUGUUUCUGUAGGCACAUUUUAAAUAGUAUUAUACUUUGCCCCCAGUAAUUAUAGGAGGAAAGGACAAGAAAAUACACUUUUGGUGAAUAAAAUGCUAAAUGACUAUCAAAUUUCAGUUAAACAUUCACGAUUAAAGUCUAUUAACACCCUCAAGUGGAAUUUUGUGUUUCCAAAUUACAGAAGUAGAGGGUGCAGCUGUUUCCAUCUUAGCCAUUCUGCACUCAUCAAUAGGUCUAUUCACUUAAGUAAUGUGGAAUUUCUACAAGAGGCUGAAGAAAACAAAACUACUCAUCCCUGUCCUGGACUUUUGUGCCUAUGGAUCAUAGGUCCUUCCUAACAUUGACCAAAGAAGAACUUCAUUUGUAACAACUCUGGAGGCUUUCCAGGAUAAUUUCAAGCAUGAAAAAUAAGGAGAAGUUCACAGUCUUCACAAGGCAAGAAGCCAGAAUGGUUGCUGAGGAGAAAUGGACAGUGUUUUGGCCAACUAAAAAUGAAAACAAAAGAUGAGAAAGAAAAGGAGAAGCAUAUUCUAAAAAUCACCACUGGAGAUACAUUUUGAAAAUGGUUACUCGCACAAUUUAGUAUUGAUAUAAACCUGCACCGCCACAAAAAUGAAUUCCCAAGAGGUGCUUGGUCAAGUUCUUCUGAGCUCAAUGAAAGCAGUCUCCUACAAAGAAAGGAAGAAGAUAAAUACAACAAAAAUGGGAUUAACAAGCAUUUUAUGUAUUCUGUGUACAGCCAGAAAAAUUCAUUUUAAAAGAUUUGAAAAUCAACAACAGAAAAAGAAUCUCAAAGGUAAAAAUGAGUUUGUGCGCCCUUUCCCAUUUUAGUGCUAGUCCAGAAAAAAAGAACAGUGUUUCUCUUUGUCGUUUGGUGCUUGCAGGUCACAUAAUAAUGACUUUUCACAUGUUGAUCCGUCUUGCUUAGCAAACAGUAACUGCUUCAUAAAACCAGGGACACCAGGAAAAUUAACUUCCCAUAAUUGAAGGGGCUAUUUCCUGUUAAUGUGAAAAUUUUUGUGAUCAAGAAUCCUACAAUUUGUGGUUUCUCUUUAGAUUUGUUAAAUCCAUAUGAGUCCUUUUAAGUGCAAAGGCAGUAUCUUUACUGUCCACGUAAAUAGCAAGCUAUCUACCAUAAGCCAAAGAAAUCAGUCCAGAAAUGGAUGUGUCACUGUGACCUGAAGAGACAAAUAGUUCUGGCAGCUGGCUUAUUGGAGAUAACAAGCGUUUUGUAUGUUUCUUUCAGACCACUUUGUCUUAUAAUUCUAAGUUAAUUAAGAUCAUUAAACAAUAGACUAUUACAAGGUCAAUCUGGCUACUUAACCAGUCGCAACAAUUAAAUCUAAUCAAUGCCGCACUUCAGAAACUACACACUCCAGUGGUUGUAGGGAAAAACUGGAUUCAAUGAGAGCUUAAAUCAUGCCACCUAGAGGAAAGCUGUGGUAUGUCUUACAACUUCAUACUGUUACAUUCAUUAAUUUAUAAUUUUGCAUUGAUUUGUUGUUACUGCACAUCAAAUAAAAAUGUUUCAGAUAAAUGUUGUAAAACAUGCAUUUUUAAAAAGAUGCUAGAUCAACAGCAAUGGGAUAUCUUUAAUUACAAAGUUGUGGUUACUGGUUAUCUCCUAGGCAGUAACAUGGGAAGCUAAAAAUCUCAUCCUCAUUUUUAUAAAGCAUAACUUGAAUACCAAAAUUCUUAAUAGCAAAAAUGUCAAUCACUUACACUUUUAUGACUCAUCUAAUGUCAUUAAGUAAUAAACAGCAGCCAAUAUCCAAUAUAUUGUAUUUUUGAAUUAAAAAAAAUGGUUAUAUGUAGUAAAUCAUUGGAUACCACUUCCGUAGUUAAAGUAGUUCCAUUUCUGCAGCAUCCAGAUAAUUCAAAUGUAAAGUUUUCAUUAUCAGACAUUCUUGGGUAAGACCUGUAGUGAAUUAUCCUAUAGCACACUGCAGAAUACACUGACAGUACCAGCCUGGGGUGACAUGUUAACUCUAAAUUGACACAGCUAGGAAAAUUUUCACCUUCUGAUAAAGGGCACCUACUAAUUUUUUCAAAGUACAAAUUCCAUUUUACUUUUCUCCAGAGGAUAGUUUUUCUUCCUUUAAUGAGCGUUGGUGCCAGCAUCUGCAGGUCUAAAUAGGAGUGGGGAUGUUCAGUCCUUGCAGGCUUCCUGCUGUGAAUGGCACAGCUCACACAAUAAUGUAACUUCACAUAUAGUUCCGGAAGCACAUAGGCAUUGAAGACACUUGCUGCAGCCUGUACUGUGUUUUGAAUAACUUCCUGGUUGGGAGCAGUGGCUCAUGCCUAUAAUCCCACCACUUUGGGAGGCCGACGUGGGCAGAUCGAGACCAUCCUGGCCAACAUGAUGAAAACCCAUCUCUACUAAAAUACAAAAAAUUAGCCGGGGUGGUGGCCCAUGGCUGUAGUCCCAACUACUCAGGAUGCUGAGGCAAAGGAAUCGCUUGAACCCAGGAGGCAGAGGUUGCAGUGAGCCAAGAUCAUGCCACUGCACUGUGGCUUGGCAGCAGAGCAAGACUCUUCUCAAAAAAAAAGAACUUAAUAGCCCUGUCCUUGGGCACACAUGUGGCCACCACCCUUUUUGUCAUGAUCAUUGUUCUUUUUCUUUGUCAUCUUGGAAGUGAGGACCCGAAAGAGCAUGGCAUCUACUACUACCUUCCAUUGGCCGUAGUUUUAUGUCAGAGUUAAAUGAGACCAAAAUACUGAAUACCCAUUUAUUUUGCCAGAAGAGUUGACUAUCUAGAAUUUCAUUUUCUAUAAGACAUUAUCAUCUCAAAUGUGAGGAAUCACCGUGGUGUACAGCAGCUCUGUGACUCGUCUGAGACGUGAGGGAUCACCGUGGUGUACAGCAGCUCUGUGACUCGUCUCAGACGUGAGGGAUCACCGUGGUGUACAGCAGCUCUGUGACUCGUCUCAGACGUGAGGGAUCACCGUUGUGUACAGCAGCUCUGUGACUCGUCUCAGACGUGAGGGAU
Molecule: long non-coding RNA, 5577 nt
Organism: Callithrix jacchus (white-tufted-ear marmoset)
Lineage: Eukaryota; Metazoa; Chordata; Mammalia; Primates; Cebidae
Source: RefSeq, a predicted model, not a curated record